GUAAACCCGUAAGGCGCAAG
RNAcentral lists this small nuclear RNA (20 nucleotides) under Arabidopsis thaliana (thale cress). Its description in RNAcentral is "snRNA_02465". Lineage: Eukaryota; Viridiplantae; Streptophyta; Magnoliopsida; Brassicales; Brassicaceae. The record is from RNAcentral.